UCAGUUGGGGACACUUAAUUUCUAGCGAUUAUCGCCGAUUUGAUUGCACAGAUACUAUUUAAACUAAACUGAGCUAGACAAUGACAUCUCUGAAUUCAAUAAUGAAAUGCCUUUAACUGAAAAUUGAGUGUUUAAUCUUAUCAUUAUACAUUACUGACACUCUAUCCUCCAAUUUGAUACUGUUAAGUGCUUUGACACAAUCUGUAUUGUAAAAGCGCUAUAUAAAUAAAGGUGACUUGACUUGACUUGAAGACAUGAAGUUUUGGUGGGUGAUUGGCAUACUAGUCAAAUAACAGUCUGAUCAUGAAUUGCUAGUGGUGAUCAGGUGUCUUCAAUAACUCAGAUUUGGGGGCCUGGAAACACAAGCUUUUGAACACGAUGCCUGUAUCAUCUCCAUGUGAACAACAAAAACAUGAAUUUGUGAAAAAGUGUAAGUCGCAUCCUACAGAAACAUAACUUCAGAAUGAAGCAGCUGUACAAGGGUGCCAUUUGAGAGGAACAGUGUCAGAUUAUGUCAGAACCAUGAUCAUGUGCAGACAGUUCUGGAUUUUGAUGCCAGCGAACUGCCACAUGAGUUCAUCUAAGUGGAUGAGGCAGGCUUCAAUCUGACCAAAACCAGGCACUGGGGCCGUAACGUAGUUGGACAAAGGGCUGUUGUAAAUGUCCCUGUGCAGCGUAGGGGAAAUAUCACCUUGUGUGCUACAAUUAGUGUCCAAGGAGUCCUGCAUCACCAUCCCACUCUAGGUCCCUACAAUACAGGACAGAUCAUUGCAUUUCUAGAUGCACUACAUGCAGUUGUGCAGGACAGACCACAGCAGUUUGUUGUCAUCUGGGAUAAUGUUAGUUUCCACCGGGCUGCUCUGGUCCGAGAUUGGUUCAACAACCAUAACCAUUUCACACUUUUAUAUCUGCCCCCUUACAGCCCCUUUCUAAAUGCAAUCGAGGAAUUCUUUUCUGCAUGGUGGUGGAAAGUAUAUGAUCGGCAACCACACGCCCACAAGACUCUUCUGCAAGCAAUGGAAGAGGCACGCGGAGACAUUGAGGUGGGAUCAAUCCAAGGGAGGAUUCGGCACACAAGGCGAUAUUUUCCCCGAUGCCUUGCCCGCGAGGACAUCGCCUGUGAUGUUGACGAGGUCUUCUGGCCAGAUCCGAACAGAAGGCGGGAUCCAUAAGCCCCCAGCCCCCAGCCCCACCACACACACACACACACGUUUGUUUUUGUGAAAAGUGGGGACUCUCUAUAGACGUAAUGGUUUUUAUACUGUACUUACUGUAUGUGCUAUUGUCCUACACCAACCCUACACCUAAACCUACCCCUUACAGGAGACUUUCUGCUAUUUCAGAUUUUCAAUACACGCCAUUCUGUGUGAUUUAUAAGCGUUUUGAAAAGUGGGCACAUGGGGUAAUGUCCUGAAAAGUCACCUUCUCCUUGUAAUACCUGUCAUACCCUUGUCAUUAUAAAAAAUCUAUGUCCUCAUUUGUCACAAAAACGUGCGCGCGCACACACACAAAACAAGUAUAUGUUUUUUUUCCCCCCAAUACCAAUUUAUCCAGUAAUUGUUUUGUUUUUUUACUUUUGUUUUGUUGCUAAAUUUGAUGAUUUGUGAUUCUAUUUUUCUUUAUUUCUGUA
Molecule: long non-coding RNA, 1630 nt
Organism: Onychostoma macrolepis
Lineage: Eukaryota; Metazoa; Chordata; Actinopteri; Cypriniformes; Cyprinidae
Exons: 4
Source: RefSeq, a predicted model, not a curated record